GACGAACGCUGGCGGCGUGCUUAACACAUGCAAGUCGAACGAAGAGCGAUGGAAGCUUGCUUCUAUCAAUCUUAGUGGCGAACGGGUGAGUAACGCGUAAUCAACCUGCCCUUCAGAGGGGGACAACAGUUGGAAACGACUGCUAAUACCGCAUACGAUCUAAUCUCGGCAUCGAGGAUAGAUGAAAGGUGGCCUCUACAUGUAAGCUAUCACUGAAGGAGGGGAUUGCGUCUGAUUAGCUAGUUGGAGGGGUAACGGCCCACCAAGGCGAUGAUCAGUAGCCGGUCUGAGAGGAUGAACGGCCACAUUGGGACUGAGACACGGCCCAGACUCCUACGGGAGGCAGCAGUGGGGAAUCUUCCGCAAUGGACGAAAGUCUGACGGAGCAACGCCGCGUGAGUGAUGACGGCCUUCGGGUUGUAAAGCUCUGUUAAUCGGGACGAAAGGCCUUCUUGCGAAUAGUGAGAAGGAUUG
This 474-nucleotide ribosomal RNA is filed under the name Veillonella parvula. RNAcentral's name for it is "bacterial SSU rRNA". It matches the Rfam family "Bacterial small subunit ribosomal RNA", at positions 28 to 471 of the family's 1533-position model. The record is from RNAcentral. Lineage: Bacteria; Bacillati; Bacillota; Negativicutes; Veillonellales; Veillonellaceae.